GAGGUUUUCCCUGGGAAUUAGAUAUCACUGAGAUAUACAAGUGCUGCUCCAACCAGUCCUGCCUCUGACAAAGGAACAGCAACCUUUGUCUGGAAUGCAACCACUAAGGAACAUGCUAAAGAUGUCUCUGAUUUUCCGUCAGGAUCAGGAUUUUCACAGAAUUCAGUGUAAGGUAAUGCUUCUUCAGUCUAGUUCUCACAUUUUAAGAAUAAAAGUCAAUGAAAUGCCACUACAGAUAUAUUUUUUUUUUUUGGUGCUGUAAAUUGCAUUCUGAUGAAUCUUCACUCCUGAACCAGCCCUCCAGCACUGCCAGCAAGCCUCUCUUGUUGCUUCUAGCAAGAAUUGUCAUGGUGAUGCAUUCUGUUGACCACAUUUUUGAAACACAGAUUGUUUCUAAUUUUGUUUCUCCAGUUGACUCUGGGUACUGCACCAUCUCCGUUUCAGUCCUCGCUCCCUGUUCUCUGGAGGAUUUCUGUCACGACAAACCAUGAAAAUCCACCCAGGAGGAUCUGCCCUGUCCCCUUCCCGUGAGCCAGCCUGGGGAAGGCUCAGCACAGCCGCGGUGUGAGGAGCAGCGAGGGGCUCAGCCUGGACAAAAGGGCCUUGGGGGGGACCUUGCACAGCUCCUGACAGGAGGGGACAGCCAGGGGGGUCCUGUUCUCCCGGGAAAUGAGAGACAGGAUGAGAGGACACGGCCUCAACGUGUACCAGAGUGCUCCGGGCUGGACAGCAGGAGGAAUUCCUCCAUGGAAAGGCUGCUCAGGCCGUGGCACCGCCCAGGGAGGGCCGGAGUGCCCAUCCCUGCAGGUGUCCCCUGGAGGUGGCACUCAGGGCUCUGGGCUGGGGACAAGCUGGGCACGGGGCACGGCUGGGACUCCCUGGGCUGGGAGGGCUUUGCCAGCCUCGGUGACCCCGGCACUGCGGAGGGUCCCUGUGAGCUGCCCUUGCAGGAGGGUGACUCUGCAGCUACAGAGAUGUACCUGAGUUUCAGAGAGAACAUUCCAAAGGAAAGGAAAUCCUUCAAGGAGGAGUGGAGGAGGAUGAAAGCUGCUGGG
This is a long non-coding RNA of Vidua chalybeata, 1055 nucleotides long. RefSeq lists it as uncharacterized. The transcript is spliced from 3 exons. The record is from RefSeq and is a predicted model, not a curated record. NCBI's taxonomy places the organism in Eukaryota, Metazoa, Chordata, Aves, Passeriformes, Viduidae.